This 585-nucleotide ribosomal RNA is filed under the name Penicillium sp. CMY2004. Its description in RNAcentral is "eukaryotic LSU rRNA". The stretch from base 206 to 358 matches the Rfam family "5.8S ribosomal RNA". The record is from RNAcentral. Lineage: Eukaryota; Fungi; Ascomycota; Eurotiomycetes; Eurotiales; Aspergillaceae.
UCCGUAGGUGAACCUGCGGAAGGAUCAUUACCGAGUGAGGGCCCUCUGGGUCCAACCUCCCACCCGUGUUUAUUUUACCUUGUUGCUUCGGCGGGCCCGCCUUUACUGGCCGCCGGGGGGCUCACGCUCCCGGGCCCGCGCCCGCCGAAGACACCCCCGAACUCUGUCUGAAGAUUGCAGUCUGAGUGAAAACGAAAUUAUUUAAAACUUUCAACAACGGAUCUCUUGGUUCCGGCAUCGAUGAAGAACGCAGCGAAAUGCGAUACGUAAUGUGAAUUGCAAAUUCAGUGAAUCAUCGAGUCUUUGAACGCACAUUGCGCCCCCUGGUAUUCCGGGGGGCAUGCCUGUCCGAGCGUCAUUGCUGCCCUCAAGCCCGGCUUGUGUGUUGGGCCCCGUCCCCCGAUCCCGGGGGACGGGCCCGAAAGGCAGCGGCGGCACCGCGUCCGGUCCUCGAGCGUAUGGGGCUUUGUCACCCGCUCCGUAGGCCCGGCCGGCGCCUGCCGAUCAACCCCAAAUUUUUAAUCCAGGUUGACCUCGGAUCAGGUAGGGAUACCCGCUGAACUUAAGCAUAUCAAUAAGCGGAGG